This 394-nucleotide ribosomal RNA is filed under the name uncultured bacterium. RNAcentral's name for it is "partial 16S ribosomal RNA". It matches the Rfam family "Bacterial small subunit ribosomal RNA", at positions 523 to 918 of the family's 1533-position model. The record is from RNAcentral.
AUACGUAGGGAGCUAGCGUUGUCCGGAAUUACUGGGCGUAAAGGGCGCGUAGGCGGCGCUUCAAGUCGUCUGUCAAAUGGGAGGGCUUAACCCUUUUUCGCAGACGAAACUGGAGAGCUUGAGAAGCAGAGAGGCAAACAGAAUUCCUGGUGUAGCGGUGAAAUGCGUAGAUAUCAGGAAGAAUACCAGUGGCGAAGGCGGUUUGCUGGCUGCAUACUGACGCUGAAGCGCGAAAGCCAGGGGAGCAAACGGGAUUAGAUACCCCGGUAGUCCUGGCAGUAAACGAUGUAUGCUGGGUGUGAGACUAGCGAUAGUUUCGUGCCGAAGUUAACGCGAUAAGCAUACCGCCUGGGGAGUACGGUCGCAAGAUUGAAACUCAAAUGAAUUGACGGGG